RNAcentral lists this ribosomal RNA (564 nucleotides) under Curvularia lunata. RNAcentral describes it as "eukaryotic LSU rRNA". The stretch from base 187 to 340 matches the Rfam family "5.8S ribosomal RNA". Lineage: Eukaryota; Fungi; Ascomycota; Dothideomycetes; Pleosporales; Pleosporaceae. The record is from RNAcentral.
AAUAAAAUAUGAAGCUGUACGCGGCUGUGCUCUCGGGCCAGUUUUGCGGAGGCUGAAUUAUUUAUUACCCUUGUCUUUUGCGCACUUGUUGUUUCCUGGGCGGGUUCGCCCGCCACCAGGACCACAUCAUAAACCUUUUUUAUGCAGUUGCAAUCAGCGUCAGUAUAACAAAUGUAAAUCAUUUACAACUUUCAACAACGGAUCUCUUGGUUCUGGCAUCGAUGAAGAACGCAGCGAAAUGCGAUACGUAGUGUGAAUUGCAGAAUUCAGUGAAUCAUCGAAUCUUUGAACGCACAUUGCGCCCUUUGGUAUUCCAAAGGGCAUGCCUGUUCGAGCGUCAUUUGUACCCUCAAGCUUUGCUUGGUGUUGGGCGUUUUUUGUCUUUGGUUGCCAAAGACUCGCCUUAAAAGGAUUGGCAGCCGGCCUACUGGUUUCGCAGCGCAGCACAUUUUUGCGCUUGCAAUCAGCAAAAGAGGACGGCAAUCCAUCAAGACUCCUUCUCACGUUUGACCUCGGAUCAGGUAGGGAUACCCGCUGAACUUAAGCAUAUCAAUAAGCGGAGGA